GCGGGGAUUCCCAAGUCAGGACAACGGGGCAGGACUUAAGAUCCUGUGGCGAAGGCCUUCGUGGGUUCAAAUCCCACUCCCCGCACCA
RNAcentral lists this transfer RNA (88 nucleotides) under Candidatus Methanosuratincola sp. RNAcentral's name for it is "tRNA-Leu". It matches the Rfam family "tRNA". From Rfam's summary of the family: Transfer RNA (tRNA) molecules are approximately 80 nucleotides in length. The record is from RNAcentral. RNAcentral also lists the same sequence under 1 other name. Lineage: Archaea; Thermoproteati; Thermoproteota; Methanosuratincolia; Candidatus Methanomethylicales; Candidatus Methanomethylicaceae.